GAUGCAACGCGAAAGACCUUACCUACCCUUGACAUGUCUGAAAUCCUGGAGAGAUCUGGGAGUGCUCGAAAGAGAAUCAGAACACAGGUGCUGCAUGGCCGUCGUCAGCUCGUGUCGUGAGAUGUUGGGUUAAGUCCCGCAACGAGCGCAACCCUUGUCAUUAGUUGCUACGAAAGGGCACUCUAAUGAGACUGCCGGUGACAAACCGGAGGAAGGUGGGGAUGACGUCAGGUCCUCAUGGCCCUUAUGGGUAGGGCUACACACGUCAUACAAUGGCCGGUACAGAGGGCUGCCAACCCGCGAGGGGGAGCCAAUCCCAGAAAACCGGUCGUAGUCCGGAUCGUAGUCUGCAACUCGACUGCGUGAAGUCGGAAUCGCUAGUAAUCGCGGAUCAGCUUGCCGCGGUGAAUACGUUCCCGGGUCUUGUACACACCGCCCGUCACACCAUGGGAGCGGGUUCUGCCAGAAGUAGUUAGCCUAACCGAAAGGGGGGCGAUUACCACGGCAGGGUUCGUGACUGGGGUGAAGUCGUAACAAGGUAACCGU
Molecule: ribosomal RNA, 546 nt
Filed under: uncultured bacterium
Lineage: Bacteria
Description: bacterial SSU rRNA
Rfam family: Bacterial small subunit ribosomal RNA
Source: RNAcentral